This 600-nucleotide ribosomal RNA is filed under the name uncultured bacterium. RNAcentral describes it as "bacterial SSU rRNA". It matches the Rfam family "Bacterial small subunit ribosomal RNA", at positions 740 to 1340 of the family's 1533-position model. The record is from RNAcentral.
CUGACGCUCAUGCACGAAAGCGUGGGUAUCGAACAGGAUUAGAUACCCUGGUAGUCCACGCGGUAAACGAUGAUAACUAGUUAUCCGGCCAGAUUGAUGGUUGGGUGACCGAGCGAAAGCGUUAAGUUAUCCACCUGGGGAGUACGCCGGCAACGGUGAAACUCAAAGGAAUUGACGGGGGCCCGCACAAGCGGAGGAACAUGUGGUUUAAUUCGAUGAUACGCGAGGAACCUUACCCGGGCUCAAACGCAAGGCGCUACAUCCUGAAAGGGGUGGUUCUUCGGACGUCUUGCGAGGUGCUGCAUGGUUGUCGUCAGCUCGUGCCGUGAGGUGUCGGCUUAAGUGCCAUAACGAGCGCAACCCCCAUCUUCAGUUGCCAUCGGGUCAGGCCGGGCACUCUGGAGAGACUGCCGGCGCAAGCUGUGAGGAAGGCGGGGAUGACGUCAAAUCAGCACGGCCCUUACGUCCGGGGCGACACACGUGUUACAAUGGCGGGGUGACAGCGGGAAGCCAGGCGGCGACGCCGAGCCGAUCCCGAAAACCCGUCUCAGUUCGGAUCGGAGUCUGCAACCCGACUCCGUGAAGCUGGAUUCGCUAGUA